GUGCUGGUAGCUCAAAGGAGUAGAGUACCGGCCCUAUAUGCUGGAGGUGGUGGGUUCAAACCCAGCCCUGGCCA
RNAcentral lists this transfer RNA (74 nucleotides) under Otolemur garnettii (small-eared galago). It matches the Rfam family "tRNA". Rfam says of the family: Transfer RNA (tRNA) molecules are approximately 80 nucleotides in length. Lineage: Eukaryota; Metazoa; Chordata; Mammalia; Primates; Galagidae. The record is from Rfam by way of RNAcentral.